ACCUAAUUACUUCACUUGAUCCCAUCGGAAAAGCUAUGGUCGCCGGCGCCGGGAAAUCGUCCGCCACCAAGAACUCCGGAAACUCGCCUGCGCUGAUUUCAACCGUCGUGAAUUCCAAAAAACGAAAAUCCGACAGAAACCCAACAAAUGUACCAGUUCGUCUGAAUGAGCCACUGUUUCGCCGUCUCUCUGCCGCCGCCGCCGUGACACGCUCCUUUCUCGAAACCAACGAUCUCUUCCUCCCUCCAUCUCAAUCUCUCCGCCUCGAAUCACUCCUCUCAUCUCUCCCAAUCGCUCCUCCUUCACCUUCCACCUCCGCUUCCACGUGGUUCCACCGCUUCUUAAUCUCCGCCGUCGAAGACGACGAUCCUCGCUGGUAUCUUUGUUUCCGAAUGUCGAAAUCCACUUUCCUCCAUCUACUCUCCAUCCUUUCACCUUCCGAUUCUCCUCCGUCGCUUCCUUCAUCCUCCCUCGCCGCUGCAAUCUUCCGUCUCGCUCACAACGCUUCCUACAAAUCUCUCGUUCUCCGAUUCGGGUUCGACUCCAUCCCCGACGCUUCCCGCGCUUUCUUCACCGUCUGUAAGCUCAUCAGUGAGAAGUUAGGGAAAAUCGAUGAUCCCAAACCUGAUUUUUCGCCUCGAUUGCUCCCGAAUUGCUGCGGUGUGUUGGGUUUCGGGAGAUUCGAGGUAGAUGGGAAGCUUCUUGGGUCAAAAGGGUCAGUGAUUGUUCAAGCAUUGGUUGAUUCCAGUGGCAGAUUCUCAGAUAUCUCUGCUGGGUGGCCAAGCACGAUGAAACCAGAAGCCAUUUUCCGGCAAACGAAGCUUUUCUCGAUUGCAGAAGAAACGGAAUCGGAAUCUGGAAGCUUUUUGAAUGGAUCUCCGUGCAAACUUGUGAACGGAAUAUCGGUGCCUCCUUACGUUCUUGGAGAUUCUUGUCUUCCGCUAUUGCCAUGGCUUGUGAUUCCUUAUAAUUCAAACGAGGAAGAAGACAGCUUAGAAUCGUCUCGUGCUGAAUUCAACAAUGUGGUUCACACUGCAUUGCGUAAUGUUGAGAUUGCAUUUGCUAAAGUUCGAGCUCGGUGGCAGAUUCUUGAUAGGAAAUGGAAGCCAGAGACAAUCGAGUUUCUGCCUUUUGUCGUUACUACGGGCUGCUUGUUGCAUAACUUUCUUGUGGAUUCUGGAGAUGAUGAUUUGCCGGAGGAUUGGGUGAAUGGUGUUGCUGGUGAUAAUGGUGAGAUGAGUAAAGAUGAAGAAGGUGAGGAGGAGAUGAGGCGGUUUGAAGGAGAAGCCUUUACUGGGUCAAGGAGGAUCAGAAAUGCUAUUGCAGAGAACCUGAGCCACGUGAUUCAACUAAGAUAAACUGAAAACCUCACAAAAGAGACGAGGAGGAAAACCAAUCAAACCAAUUCAAAAAGUUCGGCAAAUGCGAUGGAUGGCAGUUGGAGGACGAGGACAGGACUGGACGAGGAUGUCAUGGUUUCUUACAAAGACUCCAUUUUCCAAAAAGACCUAAGCAGGAUGAGAUGGUUUCAUCAGAGGAUUAAGCAGCUCAUCUACUGCAGCGGCAUCUAAGCAAAACACAUCGUUGGAGACCAUAACUUCAUGACAUAUUCGUUGAAAGCUGUCAAUCAGCUCGGUGAAUAGUAACACUGCGAGCAUUUUUCAUAGAAGCUUUGAGGUAUGAUUGCACCUGUGAUUAAAAUAUUUGGUUCAAUGCUCAUAAGAUCCACGUGGAACCUCAGUUGUCACCGUGGAGGUUAAAGAUUCUUUAUUCAGCUAUCGAAUGCUUCUUAUGAUCACAAGUGUCCCAAGGAACUUCUGAUCCUAACAUAUUUUAUUACAUAAAAACACUUCAUUUGCAGUAUUU
RNA transcript from Eutrema salsugineum, 1866 nucleotides. It is a transcript of the gene named protein ALP1-like, with no coding region annotated. The transcript has 4 exons. NCBI's taxonomy places the organism in Eukaryota, Viridiplantae, Streptophyta, Magnoliopsida, Brassicales, Brassicaceae. The record is from RefSeq and is a predicted model, not a curated record.